AGCGUACAAUAGUUAUUUAGUUAAUUCUAUUAGUAAUUAUAUAUUUAUUUUAAAGAUUAAAUUAUAUAUAUUUAAAUUUAAGUAAUUAAAUUACGAAAUUGCGAAUAGUUUAUUAAAUUAAUUAUAGUUUAUUUAAUAGUACUUUACUAUAUAGAUAACUAUAGUAAUUCUAGAGUUAAUAUAUAUUAAAAACCCCGACUUCGGAAGGGGUAUAUUUAUUAAAUUAAAAAUUAAUACCCUUCGGGGCUAAUUAGUAAUUUAUAAUAAUUUUUUAAAUUGUAUAGCUUUGCGUUGGUAAUGGUUUAUUUAAAUUUCUGCCCUAUUAAUUUUCGAUGGUUGGGUUUUGGUUAGUUAUAGUAAUAACGGGUAAUAGAGGGUUAGGGUUCGACCCUAGAGAAGGAGUUUAAGAAACGGCUACUAUAUUUAAAGAAGGUAGUAGGUAUAUAAAUUACCUAAUCCCGAUACGGGGAGGUAGUAAUAAUAAAUAUUAAUAUAGGGCUCUUUUGGGUUUUAUAAUUAGAAUAAAUAUAAUUUAAAUCCUUUAACGAGGAAUAAUUAGAGGGUAAGUCUAGUAUUAGUAGCCGUAGUAAUUCUAAUUCUAAUAAUAUAUAUUAAAGUUAUUAAGGUUAAAAAGUUCGUAGUUAAAUUUUGGGUUUAGCCCGUCGGUCCGCCUUACCGCGUAUAUUAAUUGGGUUGGGCCUUUUUUUCUAGAGAACCGUAUGCCCUUUAUUAAGUAUAUUAGGGAAUUAGGAUUUUUAUUAUAAAUAAAUUAAAUUAUUUAAAGAAGGCUUAUACUUGAAUAUAUUAGUAUAGAAUAAUAAAAUAGGAUGUGUAGUUCUAUUUUAUUAAUUUUUAGGACCGUUAUAAUAAUUAAUAGGGAUAGUCGGGGGUAUUAAUAUUUAAUUAUUAGAAGUGAAAUUCUUAGAUUUAUUAAAGAUUAAUUAUUAUAAAAGUAUUUACUAAGGAUAUUUUUAUUAAUUAGGAACGAAAAUUAGGGGAUUGAAGACGAUUAGAUACUAUUAUAAUUUUAAUUAUAAAUUAUACCGAUUAAGGAUCGGACGGUAUUAUUUUUUAACCCGUUCGGCACCUUACAAUAAAUUAAAAUAUUUGGGCUCUUGGGGGAGUAUAGUUGUAAGGUUAAAAUUUAAAGAAAUUGACGGAAGGGUACUAUUAGGGGUGGAGCCUGCGGUUUAAUUUGAUUUAAUAUAGGGAAAUUUACUAAGUCUAAAUAUAAUAAGGAUUAAUAAAUUGAGAGCUCUUUUUUAAUUUUGUAGGUAGUAGUAUAUAGUUAUUCUUAGUUAAUAGAAUAAUUUAUUUACUUAAUUACAAUAAUAAACGAGACUUUAAUUUAUUAAAUAGCCUAUAUUACUUUAGUAGUAUAUUAGCUUCUUAGAGGGAUUAUUAAUUUAAACCAAUAGAAGUUUGAGGUAAUAAUAGGUCUAUAAUACCUUUAGAUAUUUUGGGCCGUAUACGCGUUAUAUUAAUAUAGUUAGCGAGUAUUCUUUUAGCCGGAAGGUCCGGGUAAUUUUAUUAAAUUGUAUCGUAUUAGGGAUAAAGUAUUACAAUUAUUACUCUUUAACGAAGAAUCCCUAAUAAGUGUAAAUUAUUAAUUUAUAUUAAUUACAUCCCUACCCUUUAUAUAUACCGCCCGUCGCUAUUAUUAAUUGAAUAGCUUAGUAAGGCUUCCGAAUUAGCCUAGGGAAGUCGGUAAUAACUACCUAAGGCCGGAAAAUUAUCUAAAUUCAAUUAUUUAGAGGAAAUAAAAGUCGUAAUAAAGUCUCCAUUAGUAAACUAGUAGAAGGAUUAUUA
This 1809-nucleotide ribosomal RNA is filed under the name Neurospora crassa OR74A. RNAcentral describes it as "Neurospora crassa rRNA NCU17362". It matches the Rfam family "Eukaryotic small subunit ribosomal RNA". The record is from RNAcentral. Lineage: Eukaryota; Fungi; Ascomycota; Sordariomycetes; Sordariales; Sordariaceae.